RNAcentral lists this ribosomal RNA (443 nucleotides) under uncultured bacterium. RNAcentral's name for it is "partial 16S ribosomal RNA". It matches the Rfam family "Bacterial small subunit ribosomal RNA", at positions 338 to 795 of the family's 1533-position model. The record is from RNAcentral.
CCUACGGGGGACAGCAGUGGGGAAUAUUGGGCAAUGGGCGCAAGCCUGACCCAGCCACGCCGCGUGAAGGAAGAAGGCUUUCGGGUUGUAAACUUCUUUUAUCAGGGACGAAGAACGUGACGGUACCUGAUGAAUAAGCCACGGCUAACUACGUGCCAGCAGCCGCGGGAAUACGUAGGUUGCAAGCGUUAUCCGGAUUUACUGGGUGUAAAGGGCGUGUAGGCGGGAAAGCAAGUCAGAUGUGAAAACCAUGGGCUCAACCUGUGGCCUGCAUUUGAAACUGUUUUUCUUGAGUACUGGAGAGGCAGACGGAAUGCCUAGUGUAGCGGUGAAAUGCGUAGAUAUUAGGAGGAACACCAGUGGCGAAGGCGGUCUGCUGGACAGCAACUGACGCUGAGGCGCGAAAGCGUGGGGAGCAAACAGGAUUAGAUACCCUGGUAGUC